RNAcentral lists this ribosomal RNA (400 nucleotides) under uncultured bacterium. Its description in RNAcentral is "bacterial SSU rRNA". It matches the Rfam family "Bacterial small subunit ribosomal RNA", at positions 358 to 774 of the family's 1533-position model. The record is from RNAcentral.
GGGAUAUUGCACAAUGGGGGGAACCCUGAUGCAGCGACGCCGCGUGGGUGAAGGAGUGCUUCGGCAUGUAAAGCCCUAUCGGCAGGGAAGAAGCAAGACGGUACCUGACUAAGAAGCCCCGGCUAACUACGUGCCAGCAGCCGCGGUAAUACGUAGGGGGCGAGCGUUAUCCGGAUUCACUGGGUGUAAAGGGAGCGUAGACGGCCAUGCAAGCCAGGGGUGAAAGCCCGGGGCCCAACCCCGGGACUGCCCUUGGAACUGCAUGGCUGGAGUGCGGGAGGGGCAGGCGGAAUUCCUGGUGUAGCGGUGAAAUGCGUAGAUAUCAGGAGGAACACCGGCGGCGAAGGCGGCCUGCUGGACCGCGACUGACGUUGAGGCUCGAAAGCGUGGGGAGCGAACA